RNAcentral lists this long non-coding RNA (7762 nucleotides) under Cricetulus griseus (Chinese hamster). RNAcentral's name for it is "lncRNA (ENSCGRG00015028954.1)". The stretch from base 7313 to 7388 matches the Rfam family "mir-9/mir-79 microRNA precursor family". Lineage: Eukaryota; Metazoa; Chordata; Mammalia; Rodentia; Cricetidae. The record is from RNAcentral.
GUUAGGGUGGGGGUGGAGCACCAGCCCACCGACAGCAGCCGCUUUGGCCUGGGAGCCGGCGGCCCGGGUGUGGACGCGAGAAUGCCCCGCGGGCCCCUGCACUUGUCUGACACAAAUCAGGCUGACUAGGCUCAGGGAAUGAAGUAAAAGUUCCGGAUGCUUGAAGACCCUGAGUAGCCACCUUGCCCGAGCGAGACGCUGGCUGGUGGAGCGGCCUCCAGGGCUGCCGGAAAUGGGAGGAAGCCCUCGCAGGGGGUCCUGCGGUUCUAGCUUUUGUACCGCCCCGCCUAGGCCAGUCGGGAGCUGACGCACCCGCUCCCCAGAGACGCUGGGGGCGUCGCACUGCAGCUGGGUGGGGAGCAAUUUAUUCCUGGCGGUCACAUCCCACCCCAUCUUCUGUUACUCCACCCUACCCCUCCCAUCCCUCCACCUCUUCCUCCUCCUCUUCUACCAACGCCCGCACUAUUUUCUGAUUCUUUUUCUCCUCACCCUCCAUUCUCCCUCUCUCCCUUUCUUUUCCUCUCUCCCUUUCCCCCUCCCCCACUCUUCCAUGUCCCUCCCCCUCCUACGAAUAACCAAGCUUUUGCCUCUAAAAGUCACAAGAUGAGAGAGAGAGAGAGAGAGAGAGAGAGAGAGAGAGAGAGAGAGAGAGAGAGAGGCCUGCGAUGACUGAAGACAGGAGGGAAUCUGGUACACCUGGGAGUGAAAACUUGAUGCUUCUGGGCCAAGAUUUGCCAGGGCCUCGCUUAAGGUGAGUACUCUGGGGACCCGAGGAGUUCCCACUAGGAAGGCUCCAAACCCCGCCCAAAUCUGAGAGACCCGCGGUAAAGCGGUUGAAUCAGGGUUGGGGGAAGAUCCGGGAAGGAGCACAGCAUAAGGGUCCCAGGCCAAGUGGGUGCUGUAGCUUGCCUUGUAGCUCCUAGCUCCGGCUCUAGCCCAGGACUGCUUCCCAGCCUGCCUGGGGAAUCCGCGACGGCUGUGCCUUCCAGUGUCUCUUCCUAUGCCGACCUUCCCGCAGCUCCCCUCCUAACAAAUCGGCGUUCAAGGGAUUCAAGGGACUCUUUGGCGUUAGGAAGUGAGAAAGUCAGCCUCUCUCUCAGAUAGUGAAAGGGAAAGUUUGGCAAGGUGGAACUCUCUGGUGCUACUGUUCCCUCGAACCUAACCAAGGAUUCCCAGGUAGCGCAGAAUAUUGCUAUUUUUCUUUUUUAAAAAGAACGACUUUAACGAAAAUUCGUAUGUAGUCAAAAAGAUUAUUGGAUCACUAUGACUGAUCAGCUGCUGCUGACCUACCAAUAAGCGUUUUAAAAUACACACGUACAUUCAUGCGUGCCCCCUACACGCAAACACACUCGGGGGGUUAUGAGUAAUGAGUCAGACAGCUCUAAGUUACCAAGAAUUAAGUGGGAAUCUAAAGGUUUUUUUUUAAUGUUAUGCACGUAUGCUCUAUUUGUGUGCACAUUCGAGGAGGGGGAUGCUGAAGGAGCAUUCGUUGGCUGGGCAUUUUCUCCGUGCCUGUGUGUUGCGUGUGUUGUCAGCUGGCUCUGGUUUCUAAGCACCGAGAGUUGCCAAAGCUGGGGCCAGCAUCCACCUUGGCACCCUAGUGGCAGAACAGGACUCAUUUGUUUGGUGCAGAGCGGUGAGGACCUGGAAGAGGCUGGAGUGUAGUUAGGUCGGCCCCCUGCCAUCUAUUACACCUGCGGCAGAUGGCUCAAGUGGUAGAGCGGUUUUGUUUGCCAGGAUCAAGAAGGGAGGAGGAGGAGAUUCAUCCUCGCCCCACUCAAAAGAAGUACCGUAAAGAACCAGAGAAAUAAAAGAAGCCACGUCCAUGCCAUCAAAAGCAACAAUGCUGUCCCCUCCCCUGAGUUAUUCUGGGCAGUUAGUGACCUUGAUUCCUGGUCCCAACAGAUAUCCUGGCAGAAUUUUACGAAUAUAUUUUUGAUCAAAUGUUUUCUCUACGCGCGCGCGCGCACACACACACACAAGCACACACACAAGCACACACACACACACACACACACACACACACACACACACACACACACACACACACACAGGUGUAUGCACACAGGUGUCCUUGGAGCUGAAGGGAAUGCCACUCAAAAUCCAGGAAGUCCCUUUUCUUCCCAAGAGCUUCCUUCACUCAGACUGCCAACUCACGCAGAAAGACCCCUCCCUAGACGCCCGGCUAGCUGGGAUUUAAGCAGGCUCCAAAUGUAUCACUCUCAUUUUUACAUAGAGUGACGAUCCUUUCUGAUCAAUAUUCUCAUCCUUGCAUCCUUUCCUUCAUGUUACUCAACAAGCAGGGAAAGAAGUAAACACACACUCCCUGGUGACAGUGAAACAUGGACAGAUGUGACAAAGAGCGCACACAGUCUAUGAAGCUGUCUGUUUUCAAUUGUUUAAUUCUAUACUGAAGCCCAGAGUGAAGAGAGAACUAUAUCAAGGGACACCAAAACACAGCAGGACUCUGUCUGUACCCUUGCUCCACACAAGUCACUAUAAUCACAGACAUCUAUGUUUUAUAGCAAAUAUUUUCAUGUUUCUUAUGAGGUAAAUUAUUAUGCUGAUCUGAUUCUCUAAUGUAAAUCAAGUAAAUUUCCUUUGCCCAGGAUAUACUAUGCUAACUUGUUGGGAUGGUUGGUAUGUAGCUGCAGAGAAAUUCCACCAUUUUGGAGCACACAUUCUAUUAUUUUUCACUUAAGGCCAAAUGAUGUUUAGAAUUCUACCAAAGAAGAUGAAACAAAAAUCCAUUCUAGUUUUGGUUUGGGGGUCACAAAUAAGACACAUUCUAAAACCCCCACACAGAAAGGGGAAAACAUAAAAAACAAAACCACACUGCCAUUUUCCAAGAUUCCGGAAAGAAUCCUGUCAAUUCCGGAAGAAUCCUGUGAACUAGGUUUCUCUGGCUGGGUACUUACAUGCACCAUGUAAUUUAAUUAUUCUGCAAUCAUUUGCCUUCCCUAGGAGGGUUUUCAUUUUCCAAGGAGAAACUUUAAUAUACAGUAAGCUAUAAGGAUCGUUGAGAUGAAUAUAAGAAUAGUCCUGCCUUUUAUUCAGAAUUAGUAAUAUGAGUUUACUCACACAUCAGACAAAUAGCUAAGGGUCUGUUCUAAGGUGUGAGUGCAUGUAUUACCAAACCCACUACUAUCUACUUGCAGAAAAAUUAGAACAAGAAUACUGCAACCAUAAAAAUGAGAUGGGUCUUCUUGAACUUUUAAGAGUUUUUUUAAAUAAAAAAACCCAGAAAGACAACUGUUUUAAAACCUGCUUUUAGGGACACUAUGAGCAUCCUGUUUUAUUUAAAGAAAAAAGAAAUUAUCAAACUUUUACAAUUCUGAAGAAUGAAGACAAUAAUUUAGCCCAACCAAUGCUGCUUCUCCUCCCCUUUUCUGAUUUAAACAUGUUAGACCCUAGUUUCAACCAGUGUUCUAAACCUAAGAAUAAGAAUUUCCAAUAUGAACUCGUGACCUUUGAAUUAACAGGUGAAUUUAUUGUGUGUGUUUUUUUUAAAUCUGGGGUUUGAGAACAAAUGACAUUUUAAAUUGAAACCUCAGAGACUCCAACUAGUUCAAAUGAUGCAGUGUUUUAAGGGAAAGGAAUCUGCCUUCAUAUUUUAACAGGACAGUCCCGAAUCACAGUAAGAUUUCAAAGGCCCCUGCCCGCUCAGAACCUGGCACAAGGAAAGGAAAAGUGUAGAGUAAGAGGGCAUGCUGGGUCCCCUCCCUCUUCCACUCGCCGCUGGGACCACCUACAUCACAUGCUUUCAUAUGAAAUGGCUAUUUGGUUUUACAGAAAAGACUCAUGAGACGAAAUCUAGAAUAUGCAAUAUGCAAAUUGUACUCAGCCACACUUUAUAUAAAAUACAUACAUACAUAUAUAUUAACAUAUCUACUUUGAUACACAUGUUCUUGUGUGUGCUUAGGUCUCAAAAAACAUCGCCAUCAUUCCAAGUUUGUCUUAGCUUGAGGAAUUAAUAAGGUUAUAAUCCCUUUUUUUUUUUUUUUUAAAAAAAAAAAAAAGGUACCAAAUGUUUUCUGGAUGCAGUGCAAUGAGGUAAAGCCAUUUAGCACCCAGAAGGGCUCAACCAAUUUACAGGCCUUUGGCGGUGCCAGGUAUUUUUAAAGAUAGUCUUCAAUUGGCGCUGAAAUAGGUGUGGUGGUGAAGAAUAAAUUAUAUUAAUAAGCUCAUGUAAAUUGGGAUUCGAUAUUUGUUUGCAUAUCAUAAAACCAAAGAACUGUGAUCAACUGCAUUUGCAGGUCCCUAGGGUUCCCAGAAGAAAGGGCCUUCGGCUGGAUGUUUUGUGUGUUGCCUGUGUGAUCAGGCCCCUUCUGCAGCCCCCCCCCCCCGCCCCCAGAGCCCUCUAGAAACUAUAGCUUUGUCUUUCCUAGUGCAGAAAUGGCUAGAGAGGUCCCAAGAGCCUUAAACACAAAGCUAUUGAAGCUCCCCAAGCCCAGAGAAUUCAGGUUCUCCGGGUCAGGGCCGCCCCGACGGCCCAAGCACGGUCCUCAAGGGGCCAGUAGGUGUCGCUGUUUCCCUGCUGGCAGGAGCCUGGAGCCCGACGUUGGCCCCUAGCACCACUCAGCUUUCGGCCCCGGGUGCUUUCCCAGACUCCUCUGAACUCCAGGGUUGUGAACGCUCCCACAUUGUUUUUCCCCCUAAACCCUGUCCUGGCUCACCUGGCCAGGGCCACAGCAACAGUGGUCGACCUAAGGGAACAUCUAUGGAGAGAAAAACGAGAGACUAAUUUGGUAGGGCCAAAAGGCCACCCCUACGGAAUAGGCUGAAAGCCUGCUUCAUCUGCCUCCCAUGCUCCUUUCUCUUCACAGGCCGAGGGUGGCAAAGGUCUAUGGGGAGCACCCUGGUAAAACCCAAAAUUUGAAGAAUUCAGACACGGUUUUACUUUGACUUUGAAAAAUAAACAAGAGGUUCACAACUAGCUUUGCGGGACCUAGUCACAGAAAGAGUUUUCAUAUCCUAGUCUCAAAAGACUAUGAAGGAGGUUGGGAGGAGGGGGCAGAACGCUAGGCCUGGACCAUGAGCUACCUAUGUUUUUGCCCACAUGCCUGUGCGCAGUGUCGGGUGAACGCACUGGCCAUCCUUUGCUCUGACCCAGAAAGAAAAAUUUGAAGUACCCUAGUCUCCCCCACCGCCCUCCCUAAAGCAUUGCUUACUAGGCAUUAAUCUCCCUUGGAUAGGGUUAGCCUAUCUUUGCAAUCUGUAUUAAAAUUCUAGGUAUUGAGAAUUCUGCUCCUUUAUUUGACGUCCUGCGGGCCCCUGGCUUUGGCUCAGUAUACCGCGUAAGCGAUUAUUAACCAGAGGCGUUCUUUUUGUGUCUGGCAGGGGGAGGGGGGAUUUGGCUUGCAGAUUCCAAGAGAGACACUUAACAAUGGUUACAUCCUAUAGAUGGCUGGAGAUUUUAUUACGAUCCGGAUUUCUAUGCAUAGGGACCCCACUGCUCUGAGGGAGAAGGUGGCUGGGGGAGAUGGCAUGAAACACCCUAAAUUCAGUCUUGCACAGUCUCAAGAGGUGUUAUGGAAGUGGAAUCAGCUUUGUAUUUAAUGCGAGUCUAAAAAUAAUGUCUGCGGUCAAGAGUUUGCUGUAAUUUUUUUAAAGACCCAUGCUGCUGUGUUUUGUGUAAAAGUGAAACAUUCACAAAGACGAAAUAUGAAAUUCGCAAAUAGAAGGCAGAGGAAAACUUCGCACUUAAGGUGCCAAAUAUAUUGGGAUAAUUUCCCUGUAAUGUCUAGGCUGAGGCAUUUCCCUCUCAGGACCAGAAGCACAAGAGGCUACGUAUUCAAAGAGAAGCUGACUUUUUAGCCAGAGUUAGCAAAUAUCUUCAUUAAAUGUCACGCCUUUGCUGUUCCAUAAAAUAGACGCCUUCCUUUAAAGUCUUAUGUCUGUUAUACAAUUUUAAAUAAUCAUUUCUGAUCCAGACAGCAGAUUUAUCUCUGGGGGUGGGGUAGGACGAGCACGUGUCUAAUUGUAGGUUGUGAAGUUCAGUGAGGUGGUAUUUUUAGCUUGAAAUGCUCAGAUUCAUAUAUUUGGAUGUUUCUUCCGGUCUCAUCCUUUCUGUUUUUCCCCCUGAUUCACUCAACCCUUUCUCUCAUUUUCCGCUCUUUUUUGUCUCUGUCUUCCUUCUCCCCUCUACAGCGCCUCUCGUCCUUUCCUUUCACUUCUUCUCUUUCUCGCCUCUUUUCUUUCUCUUUCCCGCUCGCCCCCUUUCUUGUAUAAUUUAUUGUCUGAUUCUAUCAGUCAAGUUAAUAUGAAACUAGCAAGAGGGAGGCCCAUUACCCUUAUCUGGCCCUCUCCCCGAAGCGCUUAUGAGACUUAGGGAGCUGUCGGUAGCUGUCAGGUUAUGGACCAGAGCGGCGGCCCUAGGUGCAGAGUACUCUGCCUGUGGAAGAGUUGGGGUCCGCCUGGGGUUGCGGGGCUUAUUCAAAUACCGCCCGCUGCUGUCGUGAUUCGCAGGGACUCGGCCUCCAUAUGACGCCUAAAGGAGCCUGUUUGUGUGCUGUUGCCACGUUCUGCUGUGCCUGGGUCUUGUCUUCUGCCUGUAGCUUCGAUUUCGGUCCGGCUGGAUUUGGGGGACAACACUGCCUGUCGCAGGGACAUCAAGUGAGACUUCAAAGAAGCAUAAAAUGAAUAGACUAUUCAAUCAAACAAAGACCGGGGGCAGCAGUACUCCAGCAAGACAGCAUCUUCUCCCCAGCCUAGAAGUCCUGAGAAAUCGAGGAUCUCCCCCUAAAACAUUCACAUACAAGAUAUGUGCAAUCAAGCUGCCAGCACUUGGUAAAAAGCUCAUGAUGCCUAACCCAAUGAUCCGGCGCAGAUCUUUGAAUCAGCUGUCACUUCUAUAGAAUGGGAUUUUCCCCCUCUUCCUCUUUUACCAGCGCUGGAAACUGCCGACUGCUUUAUACAUCUCAGUAGAGGAAGGCUAAAGAAUCUUACGUGAGAACGAAGCAAUUUACAAUGCAAAUAGAGGCCUGUGAAGUGAUGGACGCUGCAGCUCACUGGAACAGCUUGCUGCACCUUAGUCGCUGGUUCUCAUUUUCUGAUAUUAAUAGAUGAAUUGUUGGCUAACGCUGCUGGAGAUUACUUGCUGGAAGGGAAAAAAAAAGUUUGGAAUAAACUCUGAAUGCAACAGAUCUUAUUUGGAUGUUUAGCUGCACUCACUCAGACAGAAACCAGGUCAUGUUUGCAUGAAAAGAGGAAUCUUAAACGCGGCAAAAAUCCUGGAGGACUACACUUGUGUAGAUCCAGAGUGGAGCCGGAUCUGGAGUGGAGCCAGAGGAAGACUUCCUGUGAAGGAAGCGAGUUGUUAUCUUUGGUUAUCUAGCUGUAUGAGUGUAUUGGUCUUCAUAAAGCUAGAUAACCGAAAGUAAAAACUCCUUCAAGAUCACCGAGGAGCCGCCCAGAAUGAAAGCCUACAGCCAAGAGACAGUAAAGACCAGAAAGAAAAUUUCCUUUGUGCACAAUUGUUUACUUAGCUAAAGACUAAGGACUGCACCAGCAACUGAGGACAUUCCUUCACUCAUCUUCUUAGAGAGACUGUGAACCCUUAGCCCUCUGUAUCCUGGUGUUCCAGAUUAUCAGAUUCAACCAAUUGUAAAUGGAAAUACAUAUAAAAAUUUCAUAAAGUUCUAAAUAGCAAAAUUGAAUUUUAUAUGAACUGAGUAUCACUGUAAUCUGUGAUGUGCAGGCACACCCUGCUGUAGCCUCCUGCCGCUUCAUAGCUUAGAUUGUUACCAGCAACUGAGCCUCC